Molecule: RNase P RNA, 398 nt
Filed under: Rhodospirillaceae bacterium
Lineage: Bacteria; Pseudomonadati; Pseudomonadota; Alphaproteobacteria; Rhodospirillales; Rhodospirillaceae
Description: RNase P RNA component class A
Rfam family: Bacterial RNase P class A
About the family: Ribonuclease P (RNase P) is a ubiquitous endoribonuclease, found in archaea, bacteria and eukarya as well as chloroplasts and mitochondria.
Source: RNAcentral
UUGGGUAGCUGGAUGGUUGCUCCGGNGCGGGUGCGUCGGAGAGGAAAGUCCGGGCUCCAUAGAGACACGGUGCCGGGUAACACCCGGCGGGGGUAACCCUAGGGAAAGUGCCGCAGAAAAUAUACCGCCACUGGUUCUUGUAACCGUGUGGUAAGGGUGAAAAGGUGUGGUAAGAGCGCACCGCGUCAACCGGUAACGGGGACGGCAAGGUAAACCCCACCGGGAGCAAGACCAAGUUGGAGCGGCGUGAUCUGUCUACCGUGUAGUCAGAUCUGGUCAGGUCUCUGGGGCCGCUGCUCGGGUGGGUCGCUUGAGGCGUCUGGUAACAGACGUCCUAGAUGAAUAACCGUCCAUCGCUCGCGCGAGGACAGAACCCGGCUUACAGGCUACCCAAUUCC